AGACACGUAUCCAACCUGCCGUCUACUCUUGGACAGCCUUCUGAAAGGAAGAUUAAUACAAGAUGGCAUCAUGAGUCCGCAUGUUCACAUGAUUAAAGGUAUUCCGGUAGACGAUGGGGAUGCGUUCCAUUAGAUAGUAGGCGGGGUAACGGCCCACCUAGUCUUCGAUGGAUAGGGGUUCUGAGAGGAAGGUCCCCCACAUUGGAACUGAGACACGGUCCAA
Molecule: ribosomal RNA, 223 nt
Filed under: uncultured bacterium
Lineage: Bacteria
Description: partial 16S ribosomal RNA
Rfam family: Bacterial small subunit ribosomal RNA
Source: RNAcentral